UUAAGUUAAUAAGGGCGCACGGUGGAUGCCUUGGCACUAGAAGCCGAUGAAGGACGUGACUAACGACGAAAUGCUUUGGGGAGCUGUAAGUGAGCAAUGAUCCAGAGAUGUCCGAAUGGGGGAACCCGGCAGGUAAUGCCUGUCACUCAUUACUGUUAAGGUAAUGUAGAGGAAGACGCAGUGAACUGAAACAUCUAAGUAGCUGCAGGAAGAGAAAGCAAAAGCGAUUGCCUUAGUAGCGGCGAGCGAAACGGCAAGAGGGCAAACCGAAGAGUUUACUCUUCGGGGUUGUAGGACUGCAACGUGGACUUAAAGAUUAUAGAAGAACUACCUGGGAAGGUAGGCCAAAGAGAGUAAUAGCCUCGUAUUCGAAAUAGUCUUUAUACCUAGCAGUAUCCUGAGUACGGCGAGACACGAGAAAUCUCGUCGGAAUCUGGGAGGACCAUCUCCCAACCCUAAAUACUCUCUAGUGACCGAUAGUGAACCAGUACCGUGAGGGAAAGGUGAAAAGCACCCCGGGAGGGGAGUGAAAUAGAACCUGAAACCGUGUGCCUACAACAAGUUCGAGCCCGUUAAUGGGUGAGAGCGUGCCUUUUGUAGAAUGAACCGGCGAGUUACGAUAUGAUGCGAGGUUAAGUUGAAGAGACGGAGCCGUAGGGAAACCGAGUCUUAAUAGGGCGUAUUAGUAUCAUGUCGUAGACCCGAAACCAUGUGACCUACCCAUGAGCAGGUUGAAGGUGAGGUAAAACUCACUGGAGGACCGAACCAGGGCACGUUGAAAAGUGCUUGGAUGACUUGUGGGUAGCGGAGAAAUUCCAAACGAACUUGGAGAUAGCUGGUUCUCUCCGAAAUAGCUUUAGGGCUAGCGUCGAUGUUAAGUCUCUUGGAGGUAGAGCACUGUUUGGGUGAGGGGUCCAUCCCGGAUUACCAAUCUCAGAUAAACUCCGAAUGCCAACGAGAUAUAAUCGGCAGUCAGACUGCGAGUGCUAAGAUCCGUAGUCGAAAGGGAAACAGCCCAGACCACCAGCUAAGGUCCCAAAAUAUAUGUUAAGUGGAAAAGGAUGUGGGGUUGCACAGACAACUAGGAUGUUAGCUUGGAAGCAGCUAUUCAUUCAAAGAGUGCGUAAUAGCUCACUAGUCGAGUGACCCUGCGCCGAAAAUGUACCGGGGCUAAAACAUAUUACCGAAGCUGUGGAUACCUUUAUAGGUAUGGUAGGAGAGCGUUCUAUGUGCGAAGAAGGUGUACCGUGAGGAGUGCUGGAGCGCAUAGAAGUGAGAAUGCCGGUAUGAGUAGCGAAAGACAGGUGAGAAUCCUGUCCACCGUAAGACUAAGGUUUCCAGGGGAAGGCUCGUCCGCCCUGGGUUAGUCGGGACCUAAGGAGAGACCGAAAGGUGUAUCCGAUGGACAACAGGUUGAUAUUCCUGUACUAGAGUAUAUAGUGAUGGAGGGACGCAGUAGGCUAACUAAACCAGACGAUUGGAAGUGUCUGGCCAAGCAGUGAGGUGUGAUAUGAGUCAAAUGCUUAUAUCUAUAACAUUGAGCUGUGAUGGGGAGCGAAGUUUAGUAGCGAAGUUAGUGAUGUCACACUGCCGAGAAAAGCUUCUAGCGUUAAUUAUACUCUACCCGUACCGCAAACCGACACAGGUAGUCGAGGCGAGUAGCCUCAGGUGAGCGAGAGAACUCUCGUUAAGGAACUCGGCAAAAUGGCCCCGUAACUUCGGGAGAAGGGGCGCUGACUUAUGGUCAGCCGCAGUGAAUAGGCCCAAGCAACUGUUUAUCAAAAACACAGCUCUCUGCUAAAUCGUAAGAUGAUGUAUAGGGGGUGACGCCUGCCCGGUGCUGGAAGGUUAAGAGGAGUGCUUAGCAAUAGCGAAGGUAUGAAUUGAAGCCCCAGUAAACGGCGGCCGUAACUAUAACGGUCCUAAGGUAGCGAAAUUCCUUGUCGGGUAAGUUCC
Molecule: ribosomal RNA, 1956 nt
Filed under: human gut metagenome
Description: bacterial LSU rRNA
Rfam family: Bacterial large subunit ribosomal RNA
Source: RNAcentral